CAGUAGCCGCGGUAAUACGUAGGGUGCAAGCGUUAAUCGGAAUUACUGGGCGUAAAGCGUGCGCAGGCGGUUUGUUAAGACAGAUGUGAAAUCCCCGGGCUCAACCUGGGAACUGCAUUUGUGACUGGCAAGCUAGAGUAUGGCAGAGGGGGGUGGAAUUCCGCGUGUGGCAGUGAAAUGCGUAGAUAUGCGGAGGAACACCGAUGGCGAAGGCAGCCACCUGGGCCAAUACUGACGCUGAGGCACGAAAGCGUGGGGAGCAAACAGGAUUAGAUACCCGCGUAGUCCCUGUCUCUUAUAA
Molecule: ribosomal RNA, 301 nt
Filed under: uncultured bacterium
Lineage: Bacteria
Description: partial 16S ribosomal RNA
Rfam family: Bacterial small subunit ribosomal RNA
Source: RNAcentral